This 518-nucleotide ribosomal RNA is filed under the name Lomentospora prolificans. RNAcentral describes it as "Scedosporium prolificans Eukaryotic small subunit ribosomal RNA". It matches the Rfam family "Eukaryotic small subunit ribosomal RNA", at positions 1036 to 1579 of the family's 1831-position model. The record is from Rfam by way of RNAcentral. Lineage: Eukaryota; Fungi; Ascomycota; Sordariomycetes; Microascales; Microascaceae.
ACUAUGCCGACUAGGGAUCGGACGAUGUUAUUCUUUGACGCGUUCGGCACCUUUCGAGAAAUCAAAGUGCUUGGGCUCCAGGGGGAGUAUGGUCGCAAGGCUGAAACUUAAAGAAAUUGACGGAAGGGCACCACCAGGGGUGGAACCUGCGGCUUAAUUUGACUCAACACGGGGAAACUCACCAGGUCCAGACACAGUGAGGAUUGACAGAUUGAGAGCUCUUUCUUGAUUCUGUGGGUGGUGGUGCAUGGCCGUUCUUAGUUGGUGGAGUGAUUUGUCUGCUUAAUUGCGAUAACGAACGAGACCUUAACCUGCUAAAUAGCCCGUACUGCUUUGGCAGUUCGCCGGCUUCUUAGAGGGACUAUCGGCUCAAGCCGAUGGAAGUUUGAGGCAAUAACAGGUCUGUGAUGCCCUUAGAUGUCCUGGGCCGCACGCGCGUUACACUGACAGAGCCAGCGAGUAUUUCCUUGACCGGAAGGUCCGGGUAAUCUUGUUAAACUCUGUCGUGCUGGGGAUAG